Non-coding RNA from Phoenix dactylifera (date palm), 1491 nucleotides. Lineage: Eukaryota; Viridiplantae; Streptophyta; Magnoliopsida; Arecales; Arecaceae. The record is from RefSeq and is a predicted model, not a curated record.
UCGAACCCUCUCCUCUCCUCUCAUUCGCCCUCCUCUCCGUCGCCAUUCCUGGCCAGUCCCGUCCUCGCCUCUCCCUCUCCUCCCUCGGCUUUGGUGACAAGCAUGAGGUAUGAGAUAUUUGCUACCAGGCCCAAACAAGGCAUCGGCGAUUUGUGUGAUUGCUAUUCUCGACCACCGGAUUUUGCAUAGCGACGAAAAUAACCAUUCCCGACCCUUCUCUCCCCUCUCGUCGUCUUUCCGAUUGGUGGUCGGUGGGCAGAAGGGGGACAUGAGAGACGCCUUAAGCUUCAGUGCAGCAGCAGCGGCAACUGUACCGAAAUUACCAUUCUGCCAACUUGGUUCAUUCCCCUUUCUUGAUCUUACUAAACCCACUCUCCUCCCUUAUAAAACCUUCUAUUCACAUCCCCUCCCCUCUUCUUCUCAUCCUCCCCAUCAUCAUCUGCCCUCUCGGAAUCCCAUUUCCGCCUCUCUCCGGUUCGUCGUCGCCGCCGCCGCCGCCGCAGAGCAAGCAGCAUCCAUGGCGGCGCCAUCCGCUGCAGAGUCCAAGCCCUUCUCCGUGCUUUUCGUUUGCCUCGGCAACAUCUGCCGAAGCCCUGCCGCGGAGGCCGUGUUCAGAGACCUUGUCCGCAAGAGGGGAUUGGAGUCCAAAUUCUGGAUCGAUUCCGCCGGCACCAUCGGCUACCACGAAGGUAAUCCAGCGGACUCAAGGAUGAGGGCAGCAUCCAAAAGGCGUGGGAUCGAGGUGACUUCGAUCUCGAGGCCGAUUCGAUUUCAAGGAGUUUGAUCUCAUACUAGCCAUGGACAUGCAAAACAGAGGGGGCUUACAGAGGCCCGAAACCCCGGCGGGAUUUGGUAGGCGACUGGGUCUCCAACAACGAUGGGUUCGUCUGGAGCUUGCCCAUCUUCGUGGGCGGCCUCUCCUUGCUCGCUGUCCUCCUUAACCGCGCCUUCUCCGGCAUCGCCCCCGAGUUCUUGAACAACGACGGCGACGAGAAUUCUCCAUAAUAUCUGUCUACUUUCUUCUUCGAUCAACCUUAUCUGUUACCAAUUGAGUGAUCAAAGAUAAUUCUCCAUAAUAUCUGGUUCUAUCUCUCAAGAUACCAAGUCUCAUGAUUGAUUUCUUUAUUCUUUUUAUCAGGUGCUAUCUGUGGCUGUGUACAACCACUAUAAAAGAAUCUAUCAUGCAUCUUUACAGAAAGUAUCUGGAGCUGAUUCAGGGAAUUUUGAGGCUGAAAAUGAUGAUGAUAAUGUAGAGUUAGAGAAAAGCAAUGUGCUCUUGAUGGGCCUUACUGGCUCAGGACAGGAAAGACAUUACUUGCAAAAACAUUAGCUCGCUUUGUGAAUGUGCCGUUUGUUAUUGCAGAUGCAACAACACUGACACAGGAAAGGGGACCAAGAGUUGAGAAAAGUAAUGGGAGAAACAGCCAGAUGACAUACCGGGGGGAACCACCUCUCAAGCUUUAAACAUGAUGCCUCACCCAAAUGAAGAGG